GGCCCACUGAACCUUACACAUUGAACCUCCAGAACUCUGACCCCAUCUGUGCUAUUGUGGUAUUAGCAACAGAACACUGAGACAUGUUCCAGAGAACUCUACAGGAUGCUGUGAAUGCGUCUCAGGUAUAAUCAAGGAGGCUCCACCUCCUGGCUCAGGACAACGGCCCAAGCCUAACAAAAGACCAGUACACAGUUAGCACACAAUAAAUAUUUGCUGGCUCAGUGAAAGUAGGAAGAAUCAGUUGGCACAGUUCAAAUACAUAAUCACAAAUCAUGGAUUACUCUACAAUCAGACUUCACAUCCUCAGGCACUAUAUCCACAAA
This is a long non-coding RNA of Fukomys damarensis (Damara mole-rat), 326 nucleotides long. RefSeq lists it as uncharacterized. Lineage: Eukaryota; Metazoa; Chordata; Mammalia; Rodentia; Bathyergidae. The transcript has 3 exons. The record is from RefSeq and is a predicted model, not a curated record.